GACGAACGCUGGCGGCGGGCUUAACACAUGCAAGUCGAACGGAAAGGCCCUGCAGUUGGGGGGUGCUCGGGUGGCGAACGGGUGAGUAACACGUGAGUAACCUGCCCUUGACUUUGGGGUAACUUCAGGAAACUGGGGCUAAUAACGGAUAGGAGCUCCUGCUGCAUGGUGGGGGGUGGAGAGUUUCGGCGGUUGGGGAUGGACUCGCGGCUGAUCAGCUUGUUGGUGGGGUAGGGGCUUACCAAGGCUGUGACGGGUAGCCGGCCUGAGAGGGUGACCGGCCACAUUGGGACUGAGCUACGGCCCAGACUCGUACGGGAGGCAGCAGUGGGGAAUCUUGCACGAUGGGCGGAAGCCUGAUGCAGCAACGCCGCGUGCGGGAUGACGGCCUUCGUGUUGUCAACCGCUUUAGCCUGUGCCGAAGCGUCAGUGACGGUAAUGUAUAAAGAAGCACCGGCUAACUACGUG
Molecule: ribosomal RNA, 468 nt
Filed under: uncultured bacterium
Lineage: Bacteria
Description: partial 16S ribosomal RNA
Rfam family: Bacterial small subunit ribosomal RNA
Source: RNAcentral